Molecule: ribosomal RNA, 497 nt
Filed under: uncultured bacterium
Lineage: Bacteria
Description: partial 16S ribosomal RNA
Rfam family: Bacterial small subunit ribosomal RNA
Source: RNAcentral
GAUGAACGCUGGCGGCGUGCCUAAUACAUGCAAGUCGAGCGAACAGACGAGGAGCUUGCUCCUCUGACGUUAGCGGCGGACGGGUGAGUAACACGUGGAUAACCUACCUAUAAGACUGGGAUAACUUCGGGAAACCGGAGCUAAUACCGGAUAAUAUAUUGAACCGCAUGGUUCAAUAGUGAAAGACGGUUUUGCUGUCACUUAUAGAUGGAUCCGCGCCGCAUUAGCUAGUUGGUAAGGUAACGGCUUACCAAGGCAACGAUGCGUAGCCGACCUGAGAGGGGGAUCGGCCACAAUGGAAAUGAGACACGGUCCCGAAUCCCACGGGAGGCAGGCAUAGGGAAUUUUACGCAAUGGGCGAAAGCCUGAAGGAGCAACGGCGCGUGAGUGAAGAAGGUUUUCGGAUUGGUAAACUCUGUUAUUAGGGAAGAACAAAUGUGUAAGUAACUAUGCACGUCUUGACGGUACCUAAUCAGAAAGCCACGGCUAACUACGUG